GGGGGAUAACGCAGCGAAAGCUGUGCUAAUACCGCAUACGAUCUACGGAUGAAAGCAGGGGAUCGCAAGACCUUGCGCGAAUGGAGCGGCCGAUGGCAGAUUAGGUAGUUGGUGAGGUAAAGGCUCACCAAGCCUUCGAUCUGUAGCUGGUCUGAGAGGACGACCAGCCACACUGGGACUGAGACACGGCCCAGACUCCUACGGGAGGCAGCAGUGGGGAAUUUUGGACAAUGGGCGCAAGCCUGAUCCAGCCAUGCCGCGUGCAGGAUGAAGGCCUUCGGGUUGUAAACUGCUUUUGUACGGAACGAAACGGCCUUUUCUAAUAAAGAGGGCUAAUGACGGUACCGUAAGAAUAAGCACCGGCUAACUACGUGCCAGCAGCCGCGGUAAUACGUAGGGUGCAAGCGUUAAUCGGAAUUACUGGGCGUAAAGCGUGCGCAGGCGGUAAUGUAAGACAGUUGUGAAAUCCCCGGGCUCAACCUGGGAACUGCAUCUGUGACUGCAUUGCUGGAGUACGGCAGAGGGGGAUGGAAUUCCGCGUGUAGCAGUGAAAUGCGUAGAUAUGCGGAGGAACACCGAUGGCGAAGGCAAUCCCCCUGGGCCUGUACUGACGCUCAUGCACGAAAGCGUGGGGAGCA
RNAcentral lists this ribosomal RNA (638 nucleotides) under uncultured Variovorax sp. Its description in RNAcentral is "bacterial SSU rRNA". It matches the Rfam family "Bacterial small subunit ribosomal RNA", at positions 138 to 770 of the family's 1533-position model. The record is from RNAcentral. Lineage: Bacteria; Pseudomonadati; Pseudomonadota; Betaproteobacteria; Burkholderiales; Comamonadaceae.